GUGCCAGCCGCCGCGGUAAUACCGGCAGCCCGAGUGAUGGCCGAUCUUAUUGGGCCUAAAGCGUCCGUAGCUGGCCGCGCAAGUCCAUCGGGAAAUCCACCUGCUCAACAGGUGGGCGCCUGGUGGAAACUGUGCGGCUUGGGACCGGGAGGCCUGAGGGGUACGUCCGGGGUAGGAGUGAAAUCCUGUAAUCCUGGACGGACCGCCGGUGGCGAAAGCGCCUCGGGAAGACGGACCCGACAGUGAGGGACGAAAGCUGGGAUCUCGAACCGGAUUAGAAACCCGUGUAGUCC
This 293-nucleotide ribosomal RNA is filed under the name uncultured bacterium. Its description in RNAcentral is "partial 16S ribosomal RNA". It matches the Rfam family "Archaeal small subunit ribosomal RNA", at positions 455 to 747 of the family's 1478-position model. The record is from RNAcentral.